GAUUUCUGGUUCGGCGCACUUGGCCCGCCUCGGUUUACGGGGUUGUGUGCCGGUGUGCGCCAUCCAUCCAUCGAGUGAACAAUUCUGCCCUUCAUUGGGUUGGAGUUGAUUAUAACUCGAUCUUUUACUUUGAAAAAAUUAGAGUGUUUAAAGCAGGCUUGCGCUAUGAAUACAUUAGCAUGGAAUAAUAAUUUAGGACUUUGGUCUUAUUUUGUUGGUUUCUAGGACUAAAGUAAUGAUUGAUAGGGACAGUUGGGGGUGCUAGUAUUCAGCGGCCAGAGGUGAAAUUCUUGGAUUCGCUGAAGACUAACUUAUGCGAAAGCAUU
This 326-nucleotide ribosomal RNA is filed under the name uncultured Cercomonas. Its description in RNAcentral is "SSU rRNA". The stretch from base 113 to 326 matches the Rfam family "Eukaryotic small subunit ribosomal RNA", at positions 740 to 955 of the family's 1831-position model. Lineage: Eukaryota; Cercozoa; Cercomonadida; Cercomonadidae. The record is from RNAcentral.